AAAUCAAGCCUUACUAGUAAAAAAAGGUGAUGAUAUUUUAUUACCAAAUGUGUUGCAGGUUCCAUCAUUCCAUCAAAAAGACUUCUGUCAUUACUGAAAAGCACAUUCAAAGUUGACUCUUCAGAUUCACCUUGUCUUGUUACCUAACCACUUUGUCACCUUUUUCUCUUGUUCACCCUCUGCCUUGGUACUGUCCUGCUUAAAGGUAAUUGAAAAUCAAGAAUCUGACUAAAAAUUUAUUAUUUUUCUUCAGCUGUCAUCACUGAAUUGCAGUACAGCUGCUCAAGAAGGAAUCAAAUGAAGCAGGCUGCAUGCCAUGUCUGUGUUGUUAAGAAGAGAAAUGGGAAGUAUUCACAGAUUAACUGCAGGGAGGUCAAUAAACAGACAUCGUACCAGGAAACAAGUGGAGAACGUGAUAGUCACACCUGCUGCAUUGGAUCUGUCACACAGCACUUUGAAGAUUUGAACUGCACCAUAUUAUGGGAAUCGUUUGGAGUCAUAAAAGAAGGAGUCGGUGUUGCAAGAGGAGGUAUGAUAAUGAAGCCUAAAGUCAGAGACUUAAUGCCUCAGUUCUUUGCUGAAUCAAAGCCUAAGACUGUGAGUUCUUUGAAACAGACUCUCCUCAAUUAGAGGCCUGCUCAGAACAUAAUAGAGCUAUGACAUACCUGGGGCCUCUGAGUCCUCUGUAACAAAUGGUUACGUACAUAAGCUUGAAGACAGCACCAGCUGCAGGAAUGCUACAGGUCCCUGGGAUCUAUCUCCUUCUCUCACGGCUCUUAGGUUUUUUAUUAUCUUCAAAUCUCUAUACCUUACUGCUUGUUCCAUUCCCCAGGUCCUUAAAGCAUUCUUUAAGCUAUAAAUAAAGAAGAUAAAAUUACAGGGUACUUACA
Molecule: long non-coding RNA, 890 nt
Filed under: Junco hyemalis (dark-eyed junco)
Lineage: Eukaryota; Metazoa; Chordata; Aves; Passeriformes; Passerellidae
Description: lncRNA (ENSJHYG00000009488.1)
Source: RNAcentral